RNAcentral lists this ribosomal RNA (800 nucleotides) under uncultured bacterium. Its description in RNAcentral is "bacterial SSU rRNA". It matches the Rfam family "Bacterial small subunit ribosomal RNA", at positions 8 to 782 of the family's 1533-position model. The record is from RNAcentral.
AGAGUUUGAUCCUGGCUCAGAACGAACGCUGGCGGCGUGCCUAACACAUGCAAGUCGUACGAGAAAUCCUGGGCAACUGGGAAAGUAGAGUGGCGCACGGGUGAGUAACACGUGGGUAACCUACCCUUAGAUUUGGGAUAACUCCGCGAAAGCGGGGCUAAUACCGGAUGAUAUUCUGAUUCCCAAGGGAGUCGGAAUCAAAGAUGGCCUCUGCAUGCAAGCUAUCGUCAAAGGAUGGGCCCGCGUACCAUUAGCUAGUUGGUAGGGUAACGACCUACCAAGGCAACGAUGGUUAGCUGGUCUGAGAGGAUGGCCAGCCACACUGGAACUGAGACACGGUCCAGACUCCUACGGGAGGCAGCAGUGGGGAAUCUUGCGCAAUGGGGGAAACCUUGACGCAGCAACGCCGCGUGGGUGAUGAAGGCCUUCGGGUCGUAAAGCCCUGUCAGGUAGGAAGAAACGUAUCGGUGCUAAUACCACCGAUACUUGACGGUACUACCGGAGGAAGCACCGGCUAACUCCGUGCCAGCAGCCGCGGUAAUACGGAGGGUGCAAGCGUUGUUCGGAAUUACUGAGCGUAAAGCGCGUGUAGGCGGUCGGGCAAGUUAGAUGUGAAAGCCUUCCGCUUAACGGAAGAAGUGCAUUUAAAACUACCCGGCUGGAGUACGGGAGAGGAGAGUGGAAUUCCCGGUGUAGAGGUGAAAUUCGUAGAUAUCGGGAGGAACACCAGUGGCGAAGGCGGCUCUCUGGUCCGAUACUGACGCUGAGACGCGAAAGCGUGGGGAGCAAACAGGAUUAGA